This 312-nucleotide ribosomal RNA is filed under the name Triticum aestivum (bread wheat). RNAcentral describes it as "partial small subunit ribosomal RNA". Lineage: Eukaryota; Viridiplantae; Streptophyta; Magnoliopsida; Poales; Poaceae. The record is from RNAcentral.
CUAUCUGCGACAGACUCCGUGCCACACUCUCUCCGAAAGGCUCUUGCCUCGAUCGUCCCAAUCAUCACGUGGACAAUUUGGAAGCACAAAAAUGCAUGCAUAUUUGAUCAACAUCAACCCUCCAUCAACCUCCUACUAGCUACCAUCCAAGAUGAUGUGCGCGCCUGGGCCAUGGCCGGCGCCAAAGGGCUCCAAGCACUACUUCAUGUAUGUAGAAUGUAUGUAUUGGGGCUGAGGAACCCCUCCCUCUGCUCCAGGGAACCUAUAACUUGGCUCAUUUGCGCACAAGUCGUUGGAUCCCUAACCCUGUAA